This is a long non-coding RNA of Lolium rigidum, 834 nucleotides long. RefSeq lists it as uncharacterized. Lineage: Eukaryota; Viridiplantae; Streptophyta; Magnoliopsida; Poales; Poaceae. The record is from RefSeq and is a predicted model, not a curated record. The transcript is spliced from 7 exons.
UUCAGGAGCCAUUGUACAUGCUUUAUGUUAGCUUUGGUGGUUCCAAAUGAAUUAUGUUGGAAGUCAUGUAAGAUUAAUAGUACUGAAUUGAUGAAUUAGUGCUUCAAUGUUCUACGUGGUGCAGACGCUGCAUGGAGUGGUGAGGGACAGUCGAACAGUGAUCGUGUCGAUCCAUCAGCCGAGCAAGAAGGCCUUUGAGCUUUUUGAUCAGUCGUGGUGUUCUCUCAGGGGGGAAAACAGUGUACUUUGGGCAGACCCGUGAGGCUUAUGAUUCUUUCCCAAGCUACCUUCCCAUGUCCACCGCCUCCAUGGAUUCAGGUAGAAGCUGGUCAUGUUGGCUACUGGAAGUCUGAUAGAGUGAAGAAUAAAAAGGCUGGAAAUUCCAUUGAUGAUGUGGUAACAGAAGAAUUGGAGGUGCCUUCUGGUAUUAAUAAAUCUGGCAGAAAGGUUUUUGCUGAUGUGGCCAUGUGGGUGGGUUUGGACCGGCUUGGUUUUCUGCUAAGGCCCUUGAUAUAGACUAACAUAGUGUAUUCAUCAGCUAUGAGGUCCACAGAGAAGAUGUUACAGGUCAGAAUGUCGAUGGUAGGCUUGAUGGGUAUUGCAAGUGUGCUUGGACUGGUUUCUUGCGGGAGGCACCCUCAAAUAAGAAAAGUGACGCUGCUGCUCUUUUGAAAGAAAAGGACGAGAUUAUCACUCAGGUCAUGGCUGAAGGCGAAGAGCUAUCGAAAAAACAAGCUGCUCAAGAAGCUACUAUACGAAAACUGAGAGCACGGACAUGGACUAGAUUCGUGAGUUUUAAGAAGAAAAGCAACGGCUGAACUCAAAGAUCCAGGU